RNAcentral lists this ribosomal RNA (569 nucleotides) under uncultured Gammaproteobacteria bacterium. RNAcentral's name for it is "bacterial SSU rRNA". It matches the Rfam family "Bacterial small subunit ribosomal RNA", at positions 812 to 1381 of the family's 1533-position model. The record is from RNAcentral. Lineage: Bacteria; Pseudomonadati; Pseudomonadota; Gammaproteobacteria.
UCGAUUUGGAGUUUGUUGCCCUGAGUGAUGGGCUCCGAAGCUAACGCGAUAAAUCGACCGCCUGGGGAGUACGGCCGCAAGGUUAAAACUCAAAUGAAUUGACGGGGGCCCGCACAAGCGGUGGAGCAUGUGGUUUAAUUCGAUGCAACGCGAAGAACCUUACCUGGUCUUGACAUCCACAGAGUCUUGCAGAGAUGCGAGAGUGCCUUCGGGAACUGUGAGACAGGUGCUGCAUGGCUGUCGUCAGCUCGUGUUGUGAAAUGUUGGGUUAAGUCCCGCAACGAGCGCAACCCUUAUCCUUUGUUGCCAGCGGUUCGGCCGGGAACUCAAAGGAGACUGCCGUUGAUAAAGCGGAGGAAGGUGGGGACGACGUCAAGUCAUCAUGGCCCUUACGACCAGGGCUACACACGUGCUACAAUGGCGUAUACAAAGGGAGGCGACCUCGCGAGAGCAAGCGGACCUCACAAAGUACGUCUAAGUCCGGAUUGGAGUCUGCAACUCGACUCCAUGAAGUCGGAAUCGCUAGUAAUCGUGAAUCAGAAUGUCACGGUGAAUACGUUCCCGGGCCU